Cyprinus carpio (common carp) is the source of this 483-nucleotide long non-coding RNA. RefSeq lists it as uncharacterized. The record is from RefSeq and is a predicted model, not a curated record. Lineage: Eukaryota; Metazoa; Chordata; Actinopteri; Cypriniformes; Cyprinidae. The transcript has 3 exons.
CCACGUUGGCUGCUGAAGGAACUUCCGCGAGAAUUCCGUCCUCUGUUGGGCGGCAUUAAGAUGAUGGAUUGUGAGCGGCCUCAUUAAGUCACGCACCGCUGCUGACAGUACCGCCUGUCCUUUAAGACUGACACAGUGCCUAUUGUAAGGAAAUGGAAGAGUGCAGUGUUUGCAGUGUUGAGGAUGCCAUCAGGAAAAGCUGUCAUGGGUUCGCCAGCAGCUGUACGCUCCUUUUGGUAAUCCAUCUUCAUUGCUGAGAAGUAUACCGUGUUGUGACAGAACGGACACUGAGAGAUUCUAGAAAAUGGAAAGCAGGUACCUAACACAGAUACAGCCAGACAACCAAUCAGACCUCCAAUAUAUGCACUGGACUGGAUGGAGAAACUCAGCCGCCAGCCAAUAACACGCAAGACAGAGUGAGACGAGUAUCUGAAUCUGCUGAUGUAUCGCUGCAUUUUCUGCACUGGUUCUGCAGGACAAUUU